This 679-nucleotide ribosomal RNA is filed under the name uncultured bacterium. RNAcentral's name for it is "bacterial SSU rRNA". It matches the Rfam family "Bacterial small subunit ribosomal RNA", at positions 120 to 811 of the family's 1533-position model. The record is from RNAcentral.
AGGAACCUGCCCUGUAGACCGGAAUAGCCAUGGGAAACCGUGGCUAAUGCCGGAUAUUCUCACCGCUCCGCAUGGUGCAGUGAGGAAAUGGUCAGCCGCUACAGGAUGGCCUCGCGGCCUAUCAGCUAGUUGGUGGGGUAACGGCCUACCAAGGCGACGACGGGUAGCUGGCGUGAGAGCGCGAACAGCCACACUGGGACUGAGACACGGCCCAGACUCCUACGGGAGGCAGCAGUGGGGAAUCUUGCGCAAUGGGCGAAAGCCUGACGCAGCGACGCCGCGUGCGGGAAGAAGGCCUUCGGGUUGUAAACCGCUUUCAGGAGGGAAGAAGCGAAAGUGACGGUACCUGCAGAAGAAGGACCGGCCAACUACGUGCCAGCAGCCGCGGUAAUACGUAGGGUGCAAGCGUUGUCCGGAAUUAUUGGGCGUAAAGAGCUCGUAGGCGGUCUGUCGCGUCUGGUGUGAAAUCUCAUGGCUCAACUGUGAGCUUGCAUUCGAUACUGGCAGACUUGAGUGCUGUAGGGGAAAGUGGAAUUCCUGGUGUAGCGGUGAAAUGCGCAGAUAUCAGGAGGAACACCGGUGGCGAAGGCAGGCCUCUGGGCCUUUACUGACGCUGAGGAGCGAAAGCAUGGGGAGCAAUGGGAAUAGAUAUACCCCAUUAUUCAAGGGCAAAUCUCCG